RNAcentral lists this long non-coding RNA (321 nucleotides) under Homo sapiens (human). RNAcentral describes it as "HSALNT0147222". The record is from RNAcentral. Lineage: Eukaryota; Metazoa; Chordata; Mammalia; Primates; Hominidae.
CUUAAAUACAGCAGCUCUCAACCAGGGCAGGUAUCAGAAUCUGGGAAUGCUGUGUGAUUUGGGAAAAAAAAAUGUUCAGUAUUAUAAUAGUUUAUAUUUGGGUAACAAUAUUAAAUGUAAGCAGGAGAUAUUUAUGUUUAUCAGAAGAGACUAUGAGUUGGAAAAGUAAUGGUUAAACACUGCUUUCAGAGCUCAAGAGAUGAUAUGCUUUCUGGGUUUAAUUCAAAAUCCAUAUGUAAGUAAAAUGGGUUUACCCAUUGGAGAUAAAGUUUGGCUACAGUAUAGGGUGAUAUUAUACCAUUUGCUUAGUUGUCGGGAUUU